Triticum dicoccoides is the source of this 2338-nucleotide long non-coding RNA. RefSeq lists it as uncharacterized. The transcript has 13 exons. The record is from RefSeq and is a predicted model, not a curated record. NCBI's taxonomy places the organism in Eukaryota, Viridiplantae, Streptophyta, Magnoliopsida, Poales, Poaceae.
CCGACCAUCUCCUCCUCCGAGCUCCAAGCGUCCAUGGUGGCCUCCUCUUGCUGCCUCUGCUCGGCCGCGCCGCGUGCAGACGACUCUUCCCGCUCGUCAAGGGUCGGCACAGCGAUUGGAGACGAGCAGGAAUGAACCAACAAGCCUAAGAGGAGGAGCAGGAGCUCCAUCAGCAGCAGCUCAUGCUCAUGGACGACCAAGUCUGAAUCAUUGAUGUUACUCUGCUGUCCUGGCUUCAAUUCACGGCAUAGGAGGGGUGAACUUCAUUACUUAACCGGAUUAUUGACCCACAGACUCCUCUUGUCACCACCCUGCGGUCGUGAUGGCGGCGUCCAGCGUGGCCCCGUGCUUGCCUGGGGGAGUCCCGCCUUGGUUUGGCCAGGCCCGACCAUCUCCUCCCCCGAGCUCCAAGUAUCCACGGCGGCCUCCUCCUCUUGCCCCUGCUCGGCCGUGUCACGUGCAGACGCCAUGGACCUUCCUCUUCCCGCUCGUCAAGGGACGGCACGGCGAUUGGGGACGAGCAGGAAUGAACCAACAAGCGUAGGACGAGGAGGAGCUCCAUCAGCAGAAGCUCAUGGAGGAACAAGUCUGAAUCUCCUCACGGCAUAGGUACAUAGAUUACCUGUACCAUGUCGACGUUUCCUCCCCUGAGCUCCAAGUAUCCACGGUGGCCUCCUCCUUUUUCCUCUCCUCGGCCGUGUGCUGACGCCAUCAAGGUUUUGAUUUGAUCUUCUUCCCUUCCUUGGUUUCCUCACGCGCUCCUACUCCACAACCAUAGGGAUGGCAUAGCGAUUCGGGACGAGCAGGAUGGGGCCAACAAGCCUAGCAGAAGGAGGAGCUCCAUCAGCAGCAGCUCACGGAGGAACAAGUCUGAAUCGUUGCUGUUUGCGUUCACUCUGGUGUCCUGGCUUCACUUCACGGCAUAGGUGAGCAGUAGGCAUCCUCCACGGACGACAUUGACGAGGAACAUGCGGUACUGCAUGGCCGAGCUGCUGAGCUCGAGAAGAACAUCAUCGAGUCCGACCCCAACAUUGAAGGAUCUGUUUGCCCGUGAUUCUUGCCCCAAAAGUGGACUUGGACAAACUACAAGUUCGACGAUAGGUGUUCACAUAGGUGAUCGUUGCUGUGAUGAACUGGUCAUGUUCAUGUUGCUGGGAUGAGGCCUCCCGUGCGGCUUCCCCUGCGCUUCCGGGGCUGUUUCUUCUCCGACUCCAGUGCAGGAUGAAACUGCAAAUUUUGAGAAGGAAGGAGCGAGCUCCCAGGCCGGACGAGUCUGGAUGCGUGUUCGCAGUCUAGUCGCCGUCCUCUGUACGCACGGUGGUGAGGGUCGCAGCCAUCGUCUGCGCGCACGAGGCCGUACCUUAGCCGCAGCUUCUUUGACUCUGACCUCGAGGCUUGAUAUGGUACAUUUUCCCCGGGUUUUGCUCCACCAUUUUCAUGCUAUGGAACAAGCACCAUGGCAACAGGCAGCUCAUCGGAGCAUUUGAAGUCACAACCCCUCCUCGGCGACGAACCGUCGACCAGCUCCUUGCUGUGCAAGAAGCCAUCUUGCAGCUUGAGAGGCGAUCGUAAAAGUGAUGAAUGGGUCAUGUUCAUGUUGGUAUGAUGAAGCCUCCUGUGUGGCUUCCCCUACACCUCCGGUGGCUGUUCCUUCUAUGACUCCAGUGCAGGAAGCAACGGAGCAGCAGGAUAGCCGCCUCGCUCUCGCAGGGCUCGGGGUGACGAUGAGCUCCGGUGACCAUCUGUUGGCAGCGGUGAUGAAGCCUCCCGUGUGGCUUCCCCUGCACCUCGGGCGGCUGUUCCUUCUCUGACUCCAGUGCAGUGCAGAAAUGAAGUGCCAAGACGUAGCAACCUUUUGGACCCUCACCACCAAACCGUGGAAGGCAUAUCAAAAGCCAUUUUGGUCGUCAUUGCUGAGCACUGGAGUUGGGCGUUUUGCACCGCCAGCUGUCAGUUGGUGCUGGCCAUGAUCCGAUACAAACCUGUAGUGUUUGGUUCUGUUGUAGCUGAUGCGUGCUUGUGAUUUGUAUGGCUUUGGUGCCCUAUUUUUUGCUUUUGCUUUGAGUAAACCCAAUAGCAAGUGAUUUUCUCAGGGCUCUGUAAGCAACAUGUUGAUGGAGCACGAAGACAUCUGGUUUGGGUUAUCCUUCUUGUUGUAGUGGUGAUGUCUAAUCUCUAGUAUCACCUCUUUUCCGAAAGAUAAGUCGCCGGGGGAGUUCAGUUUACACUCCCCCAACGACUUAUAUUUAGGAACAGAGGGAGUACAUGUUCUGUAGUCUUUACAAGCCUGUAGGGUUGUAGCUGGUGCUUGCCUGUAACCCCCAGCGAUUUUUGUUUU